Molecule: ribosomal RNA, 253 nt
Filed under: uncultured bacterium
Lineage: Bacteria
Description: partial 16S ribosomal RNA
Rfam family: Bacterial small subunit ribosomal RNA
Source: RNAcentral
UACAGAGGGUGCAAGCGUUAAUCGGAAUUAUUGGGCGUAAAGCGUGCGUAGUCGGUUAUUUAAGUCGGGUGUGAAAGCCCCGGGCUCAACCUGGGAAUUGCAUUCGAUACUGGAUAGCUAGAGUUCGGCAGAGGGAAGCGGAAUUUCCGGUGUAGCGGUGAAAUGCGUAGAUAUCGGAAGGAACAUCAGUGGCGAAAGCGGCUUCCUGGACCAGAACUGACGAUCAGGCACGAAAGCGUGGGGAGCAAACAGG